Molecule: unclassified non-coding RNA, 270 nt
Filed under: Hevea brasiliensis (rubber tree)
Lineage: Eukaryota; Viridiplantae; Streptophyta; Magnoliopsida; Malpighiales; Euphorbiaceae
Source: RNAcentral
CCACAGGAAAAUCUUGUUGAAGUGGAUAUAGCAACCGGACCCAAGAACCUAUAUAAGGAAAGAUCAGUGCCGCCGGUUAUUCAAUUCAUCGAGAGGGGGUUGCUGCAUGUUGAAGAACCACAACCGAAGGCAUAAACGGCUGAAACGCCUACAUCAGAAAGUCCUAAGCAAGACAACUCUCCAAGAUCCACGCAACAAACAAAUAAACAACCUUGAACCAUAACAAUAGCACGCGCUAGACCAUGGAAGUUGAGAAUCAUAAAGACAGAU